UACGUAGGGACCAAGCGUUGUCCGGAAUCAUUGGGCGUAAAGAGCGUGUAGGCGGCUUGUUAAGUCUUGCGUGAAAUCUCGGGGCUCAACCCCGAGCGGUCGUGAGAAACUGGCAGGCUCGAGUUCGGUAGGGGAGACUGGAAUUCCUGGUGUAGCGGUGAAAUGCGCAGAUAUCAGGAGGAACACCGGUGGCGAAGGCGGGUCUCUGGGCCGAUACUGACGCUGAGGAGCGAAAGCGUGGGGAGCGAACAGG
RNAcentral lists this ribosomal RNA (253 nucleotides) under uncultured bacterium. RNAcentral's name for it is "partial 16S ribosomal RNA". It matches the Rfam family "Bacterial small subunit ribosomal RNA", at positions 524 to 776 of the family's 1533-position model. The record is from RNAcentral.